This 287-nucleotide long non-coding RNA is filed under the name Mytilus galloprovincialis (Mediterranean mussel). The record is from RNAcentral. Lineage: Eukaryota; Metazoa; Mollusca; Bivalvia; Mytilida; Mytilidae.
CGUCGCAUUUUUGCGCCUGUCCCAAGUCAGGAGCCUCUGGCCUUUGUUAAUCUUGUAUUAUUUUAAAUUUAGUUUCUUGUGUACAAUUUGGAAAUUAGUAUGGCGUUCAUUAUCACUGAACUAGUAUAUAUUUGUUUAGGGGCCAGUUGAAGGACGCCUCCGGGUGCGGGAAUUUCUCGCUACAUUGAAGACCUGUUGGUGACCUUCUGCUGUUGUUUUUUUUUCUAUGGUGGGGUUGUUGUCUCUUUGGCACAUUCCCCAUUUCCAUUCUCAAUUUUAUUUAUUAU